UACAGAGGUCUCAAGCGUUGUUCGGAUUCAUUGGGCGUAAAGGGUGCGUAGGUGGCGCGGUAAGUCGGGUGUGAAAUCUCGGAGCUUAACUCCGAAAUUGCAUUCGAUACUGCCGUGCUCGAGGACUGGAGAGGAGACUGGAAUUCAUGGUGUAGCAGUGAAAUGCGUAGAUAUCAGGAGGAACACCGGUGGCGAAGGCGGGUCUCUGGGCAGUAACUGACGCUGAGGAGCGAAAGCGUGGGGAGCAAACAGG
This 253-nucleotide ribosomal RNA is filed under the name uncultured bacterium. RNAcentral describes it as "partial 16S ribosomal RNA". It matches the Rfam family "Bacterial small subunit ribosomal RNA", at positions 524 to 776 of the family's 1533-position model. The record is from RNAcentral.